AGUGAACGCUGGCGGUAGGCCUAACACAUGCAAGUCGAACGGCAGCACAGUAAGAGCUUGCUCUUACGGGUGGCGAGUGGCGGACGGGUGAGGAAUACAUCGGAAUCUACUUUUUCGUGGGGGACAACGAAGGGAAACUUACGCUAAUACCGCAUACGACCUACCGGUGAAAGCAGGGGAUCUUCGGACCUUGCGCGAUUGAAUGAGCCGAUGUCGGAUUAGCUAGUUGGCGGGGUAAAGGCCCACCAAGGCGACGAUCCGUAGCUGGUCUGAGAGGAUGAUCAGCCACACUGGAACUGAGACACGGUCCAGACUCCUACGGGAGGCAGCAGUCGGGAAUAUUGGACAAUGGGCGCAAGCCUGCUCCAGCCAUACCGCGUGGGUGAAGAAGGCCUUCGGGUUGUAAAGCCCUUUUGUUGGGAAAGAAAAGCAGCAGGUUAUUCCCCCGCUGUUCUGACGGUACCCAAAGAAUAAGCACCGGCUAACUUCGUG
Molecule: ribosomal RNA, 492 nt
Filed under: uncultured bacterium
Lineage: Bacteria
Description: partial 16S ribosomal RNA
Rfam family: Bacterial small subunit ribosomal RNA
Source: RNAcentral